AACGCGAAGAACCUUACCUGGGCUCGAACGGCUUCUCAACGGCUGUGGAAACAUAGCUACUCCGCAAGGGGGUGGAGUCGAGGUGCUGCAUGGCUGUCGUCAGCUCGUGUCGUGAGAUGUUGGGUUAAGUCCCGCAACGAGCGCAACCCUUGUCCUGUGUUGCUAACCGAAAGGUGCACUCUCAGGAGACCGCCAGCGAUAAGUUGGAGGAAGGUGGGGAUGACGUCAAGUCCUCAUGGCCUUUAUGUCCAGGGCUACACACGUGCUACAAUGGGCGGUACAAAGCGCAGCGAACCCGCGAGGGGAAGCUAAUCGCAAAAAACCGUCCUCAGUUCGGAUUGCAGGCUGCAACUCGCCUGCAUGAAGCUGGAAUCGCUAGUAAUGGCGUAUCAGAAUGACGCCGUGAAUACGUUCCCGGGCCUUGUACACACCG
Molecule: ribosomal RNA, 433 nt
Filed under: uncultured bacterium
Lineage: Bacteria
Description: bacterial SSU rRNA
Rfam family: Bacterial small subunit ribosomal RNA
Source: RNAcentral